UACGAGAGACAGAGAGAGAGAGAGAGAGAGACAGACAGACAGACAGACACAGGCAGAAGCAGGCUCCAUGCAGGGAGCCUGACGUGGGACUCGAUCCCAGGUCUCCAGGAUCAGGCCCUGGGCCAAAGGCAGCGCUAAACCGCUGAGCCACCCAGGCUGCCCCAUUCUUGUUCUUUAAAAAAAUAAUUUUCAAUAUUAAAUGUCAUUAAAUAAAAAUGAGAAACUUAAAAAUUAUAAAAAAGAAAAAUUAGUAGUUCUACUACCCAGUGAAAAUCCCUGUUGACUUUUGCCAUAUUUCUUUCAUUGUAUUUUUCUUAUUCAUGUUUAUACGUAGUUACAAUCACAUGGCUUUAAAUUCUGUUUUUAAGCCUAAUAUAUCAUCUGCUUUUUUGCAUAUUACUAAAAACCUUUCUGUAAAGGGAGCAUAAUAUUUCAUGGAGUGGCCUUACCAUAAUUUCCUUAAACAUCCCAUAAAGUUUUUUUUUUUUUAUUAUUUAGGCCUUUUCUAAUUUUUCACGAUUAUAAAUAAUGUUGUUACAACAUCUUUUUACAUAAAUCUCAGCACUUAGGUCAUUUCCCUAGGAUGGAUUCCCAGAAGCAGAAUUACAGGAUAAAAAAAUAUAAGCAUUUUAAGACUCGUAAUGUAGAGCUCAAGUUGCUUUCCAAAGGAUGUAUCCUGGUGUUCACCCCCACUUCGCCAGCAGAAGCACGGCUGCUUUUUAAAUGUCUGUCUGGGACACUGUUCUGAAUAUGACAGCCUCGCAACAGACCAAAGGAGACCCAGAGAUUUCUGCCAACAUCUAGAAACAAUCCAGAUGGAGAUGAGGAUGGGACCACACGGACGCAAUGCAUCAGCCAGGAGCACUUCCAGCUGCAGGCCAGCACUGCCUCGUCCCUCAGGUCUCGGGUGUCGGGUUGAUUGACGGAGGAUGGAGAGUGAUGGAGACAGUCAUUGGACCAGCAGUGCAGAACCCUGGCUAUGGACGCAUCCUGCCAUUAACUCUCCAUCCCACUCAACACUGGAGCUCUUUGGUUCCUAAUCUGUCAAACAGAAUUGCUCCUGUCUCUUCACCUCAUUUCUGAUCAUCCCUGUUCAGUCGAUCGUUAGUUAGGGCUCCCUAUUGCCCAUCUAACCAACGUGAGCCAUGAGCAGAGGGGCAGCGGGCACUCAUCAGACCUUGUGGACCUUGUGCUGGACUCCAUGCAGCUCCCUGGGCCACAUCUUAGCCGGCGAUACCUCUCACCUCUGGUUUAAUACUGUUUGCAUCAGUUUCCAGUCACUGCUAUCACAAGCUGCCACAGACUUACUGGUUUAAAACAACAAAUGUAUUCUCUUAUAGUUCUGGAAGUCAGAAGUCUGAAAUGAGUCUUCCAGGGUGUUGGCAGGGCUGGUUCCUUCUGGAGGCUUCAGAUGAGAGUAUUUUUGCUUGCCUUCUCCAGAUUCCUGAGGCACCCACAUUCCUUGGCUCGUGGCUCCUUCCUCACUUCACUCCAAACUCUUACAUCUCCUGUCACAUCUUCUCUGACUCUGACCCUCUGGCUUCCUUCUAGAAAGUUCCUUGUGGUUACACUGGCCCCAUCCACAUAAUCCAGGAUAAGCUCUCUUCUCAAGAUCCUUCACUUAAUUACACCUGCAGAGUCUUCUUUUAACACAUGAAAUAAUGCAUUUAGGGGGUCCCAGGGAUUAGGGUACGGGCACCUUGGGAGCCAUUAUUCAGCCUUCUAUGCUAAUUAACCCACACUUUAGAGUGGACUCAGAGGAGAACUCCUCCCACUGAUGUGACCUAUUAAAGUUAGUUCUAGAUUGAAAAUAUAAAAGGUAAAAAACGAUAGCUAAGGUGUACGCUGGCAUGUUUGCCUACUAAGGCGACAGUGUCCAGCUCUGUCCUUCCAAAAACGAUGCCAGCGAAGCAGUAUCACCCCAUUGCACAGAAGAAGAGACUGAGGCCUACAGAAAUCAAGGACUUCACCCCAGUUCAUGUGGCUUCUAAGUGACAGAGCCAGGAUUUGAAGUCGGGUCCCGCUGACUUCAGAGCAACUGAGAGGAUGGGACUCAGAGUGACACGCAGGAGGAGGCUGGGGCCACAGGGUCCUGGAUGGAUGCAUGGGGAGGGUGAGGUCUGGACAGGUGAAGUACCAGAGGUCACCAGGGUCUUCUGACCCCUGGAGGCCCUCUUCCCCACUGUGACCACUCCCCUGGGGGUACAGUCCGAGACCUCCCCAAAUUCAGAGCUCCCUCCACUGUGGCUUGGCUCUAA
This 2258-nucleotide long non-coding RNA is filed under the name Canis lupus familiaris (dog). RNAcentral describes it as "lncRNA (ENSCAFG00030009159.1)". The record is from RNAcentral. Lineage: Eukaryota; Metazoa; Chordata; Mammalia; Carnivora; Canidae.